This 557-nucleotide ribosomal RNA is filed under the name Euphausiidae sp. EU5. RNAcentral describes it as "bacterial SSU rRNA". It matches the Rfam family "Eukaryotic small subunit ribosomal RNA", at positions 34 to 566 of the family's 1831-position model. Lineage: Eukaryota; Metazoa; Arthropoda; Malacostraca; Euphausiacea; Euphausiidae. The record is from RNAcentral.
GUCUCAAAGAUUAAGCCAUGCAUGUCUAAGUACAGGCCCAAGCAAGGCGAAACCGCGAAUGGCUCAUUAAAUCAGUUAUGGUUCAUUGGAUCUUACCCUUUCUUACUUGGAUAACUGUGGUAAUUCUAGAGCUAAUACAUGCCAACCAGUAGCUCCGACGCGCCCCCGCGCGGAAGAGCGCUUUUAUUAGAUCAAAACCAGUCCUCCCUCGGGAGGUCAAACCACCUCAGUGGUGACUCUGAAUAACUUUUAGCUGAGCGCACGGCCCCCGUGCCGGCGCCGCAUCUUUCAAGUGUCUGCCUUAUCAGCUCUCGAUUGUAGGUUACGCGCCUACAAUGGCUAUAACGGGUAACGGGGAAUCAGGGUUCGAUUCCGGAGAGGGAGCCUGAGAAACGGCUACCACAUCUAAGGAAGGCAGCAGGCACGCAAAUUACCCACUCCCGGCUCGGGGAGGUAGUGACGAAAAAUAACGAUGCGGGACUCAUCCGAGGCCUCGCAAUCGGAAUGAGUACACUUUAAAUCCUUUAACGAGGAUCUAUUGGAGGGCAAGUCUGGUG